This 253-nucleotide ribosomal RNA is filed under the name uncultured bacterium. RNAcentral describes it as "partial 16S ribosomal RNA". It matches the Rfam family "Bacterial small subunit ribosomal RNA", at positions 524 to 776 of the family's 1533-position model. The record is from RNAcentral.
UACGUAGGGGGCAAGCGUUGUCCGGAAUCAUUGGGCGUAAAGAGCGUGUAGGCGGCCCGAUAAGUCCGCCGUGAAAGUCCAGGGCUCAACCCUGGAAAGCCGGUGGAUACUGUCGGGCUAGAGUCCGGAAGAGGCGAGUGGAAUUCCUGGUGUAGCGGUGGAAUGCGCAGAUAUCAGGAGGAACACCAAUGGCGAAGGCAGCUCGCUGGGACGGUACUGACGCUAAGGCGCGAAAGCGUGGGGAGCGAACAGG